RNAcentral lists this ribosomal RNA (468 nucleotides) under uncultured bacterium. Its description in RNAcentral is "partial 16S ribosomal RNA". It matches the Rfam family "Bacterial small subunit ribosomal RNA", at positions 28 to 507 of the family's 1533-position model. The record is from RNAcentral.
GACGAACGCUGGCGGCGUGCUUAACACAUGCAAGUCGAACGGAAAGGCCCUGCUUUUGUGGGGUGCUCGAGUGGCGAACGGGUGAGUAACACGUGAGUAACCUGCCCUUGACUGUGGGAUAACUUCAGGAAACUGGGGCUAAUACCGGAUAGGAGCUCCUGCUGCAUGGGGGGGGUUGGAAAGUUUCGGCGGUUGGGGAUGGACUCGCGGCUUAUCAGCUUGUUGGUGGGGUAGUGGCUUACCAAGGCUUUGACGGGUAGCCGGCCUGAGAGGGUGACCGGCCACCUUGGGCCUGCGAUACGGCCCAGUCUCCUACGGGAGGCAGCGGUGGGGAAUAUUGCGCAAUGGGCGGACGCCUGAUGCAGCAACGCCGCGUGCGGGAUGACGGCCUUCGGGUUGUAAACCGCUUUCGCCUGUGACGAAGCGUGAGUGACGGUAAUGGGUAAGGAAGCCCCGGCUAACUACGUG